UCGUUUCAGGAGAAAGUGGAUGGGGGAAAAUCAGUAUUUCAAGAAGAUUGCCAUGUAGGAAGCCACGGAAAGGAAGGCAAGAAGAGGAUAUGAGAACUUGAUAGAGCUUCCGUCAGACGAUGAUCCGUCUCCUUCUCCUACUGGAGAAUCAGCAUUAGAACCACCACCUGCAAAAAAAAAAUCUACUGACAGGAGGAGUCUGAACAUUACAAGCCCUUGGCAAAGCAAGAGCCUGUGUUUGAUUAAUGUUGAGCCCAAGCUGAGAGCCUCCACCGUUGAGGGCUUGACAUAAACAGUCAGGAGAAGACUGGACUACGUUACUCAACUGGCUGCAGCAUUGCUGAGAAGGAGUUGUAGUGUUUCCGGUUAUGUAGUUAAGACAUGGUGCCAUGCUGAUCAACGCGCUCGUGCAACUUGUCUGAGCAGAGACUCUUGAAGAAGACAUCACAGCCAUGAAAACUUUGCGUUGUGUUUGUUUGAUUGGGUUUGGUCGAGUCUUGAUGAAGGAUAUAAAUAGGGAAUUGAAGGAGUUGAAACGUGAAAAUAACGAGGUCAGUGGUCUUUGGUGACGGUCUUAGGCUGGGCUGUUAAACUACCUCCAUGAUUAUUUGAUUUCAGGUGUCGAAAAGUCUCAGUUUAGGACAUCAUCUUUUACAAGUCUUUACACGUUCUAGACUUCUAGUCUCUAGAUUAACAUAUGUUUCAAAGUCGUGAACUAUUUUAGUCUUAUGGUUGCCGUGUUUUCUAAUUAAAGGAAAGUUCCAUGGUCGACGGUAUAGAAUAUAAUACUAAGAAGACCAGAAUAAAAUUAACUGAAAUAAGAAAAAAAUAGUAUGCAUGAAUGAAUGACAAGUGUUGCUCAAAAAAAAAAAAAAAGAAUGAAUGACAAGCGUGGCAUAUUGAGAUUUUGUUUUUACACUUUUUGAGCGAUUCUUCGUAUCCUAUUUCCUAUUACUCGUAUCAAUAUAACAUGACUCCUCACUUGUUUAUC
Raphanus sativus (radish) is the source of this 991-nucleotide long non-coding RNA. RefSeq lists it as uncharacterized. The record is from RefSeq and is a predicted model, not a curated record. The transcript is spliced from 6 exons. NCBI's taxonomy places the organism in Eukaryota, Viridiplantae, Streptophyta, Magnoliopsida, Brassicales, Brassicaceae.